UGGGGAAUUUUGCACAAUGGGGGAAACCCUGAUGCAGCGACGCCGCGUGAUUUAGAAGGUCUUCGGGUUGUAAAAAUCUUUUCUAUGGGAAGAAAAUGACAGUACCAUAGGAAUAAGGACCGGCUAAUUACGUGCCAGCAGCCGCGGUAAUACGUAAGGUCCGAGCGUUGUCCGGAAUCAUUGGGCGUAAAGGGUACGUAGGCGGGUAAGCAAGUUAGAAGUGAAAUCCUAUAGCUCAACUAUAGUAAGCUUUUAAAACUGCUCAUCUUGAGGUAUGGAAGGGAAAGUGGAAUUCCUAGUGUAGCGGUGAAAUGCGCAGAUAUUAGGAGGAAUACCGGUGGCGAAGGCGACUUUCUGGCCAUAACCUGACGCUGAGGUACGAAAGCGUGGGUAGCAAACAGG
This 402-nucleotide ribosomal RNA is filed under the name bacterium. Its description in RNAcentral is "partial 16S ribosomal RNA". It matches the Rfam family "Bacterial small subunit ribosomal RNA", at positions 355 to 776 of the family's 1533-position model. The record is from RNAcentral.